RNAcentral lists this ribosomal RNA (768 nucleotides) under uncultured archaeon. RNAcentral describes it as "bacterial SSU rRNA". It matches the Rfam family "Archaeal small subunit ribosomal RNA", at positions 109 to 879 of the family's 1478-position model. The record is from RNAcentral.
CCGGACGUGGGUCGCAUACCCCGGGAACUGGGGAUAAUUCCGGAUAACGCAUAUAUGCUGGAAUGCUUUAUGCGUGAAAUGGAUUCGUCUGCCCAAGGAUGGGUCUGCGGCCUAUCAGGUAGUAGUGGGUGUAAUGUACCUACUAGCCGACGACGGGUACGGGUUGUGAGAGCAAGAGCCCGGAGAUGGAUUCUGAGACAUGAAUCCAGGCCCUACGGGGCGCAGCAGGCGCGAAAACUUUACAAUGCGGGAAACCGUGAUAAGGGGACACCGAGUGCCAGCAUCAUAUGCUGGCUGUCCAGGUGUGUAAAAUACACCUGUUAGCAAGGGCCGGACAAGACCGGUGCCAGCCGCCGCGGUAACACCGGCGGCCCGAGUGGUGAUCGUGAUUAUUGGGUCUAAAGGGUCCGUAGCCGGUUUGGUCAGUCCUCCGGGAAAUCUGAUAGCUCAACUAUUAGGCUUUCGGGGGAUACUGCCAGACUUGGAACCGGGAGAGGUAAGAGGUACUACAGGGGUAGGAGUGAAAUCUUGUAAUCCCUGUGGGACCACCUGUGGCGAAGGCGUCUUACCAGAACGGGUUCGACGGUGAGGGACGAAAGCUGGGGGCACGAACCGGAUUAGAUACCCGGGUAGUCCCAGCCGUAAACGAUGCUCGCUAGGUGUCAGGCAUGGCGCGACCGUGUCUGGUGCCGCAGGGAAGCCGUGAAGCGAGCCACCUGGGAAGUACGGCCGCAAGGCUGAAACUUAAAGGAAUUGGCGGGGGAGCAC